AUUGAACGCUGGCGGCAGGCAUAACACAUGCCAGUCGAGCGGUUGAAGGGAGCUUGCUCCUGGAUUCAGCGGCUGACGGGUGAGUAAUGCCUCGGAAUCGGCCUGCUAGUGUGGCAUAACUUCCGCAAACGGGCGCUAAUACCGCAUACGUCCUGAUGGCGAAUAUGAGGGUACUUCCAACCUCACGCUAUCAGAUGAUCCUAGGUCGGUAUAGCUAGUUGGGGGGGUAUUGGCUAAUCGAGGCGACGAUACAUAACUGGUCUUAGAGGAUGAUCAGACAAACUGGAACGGGGACACGGUCCAGAAUACUACGGGAGGCAGAAGUGGGGAAUAUUGAACAAUGGGAGAAAGCCUGAACCAGCCAUGCCGCGUGUGUGAAGAAGGUAUUCGGAUUGUAAAACACAGUAAGUUGGGAGGAAGGGAAGUAAGUUAAUACCGGAAUGAUUUGACGUUACCAAACGAAUAAGCACCGGCUAACUACGUG
This 484-nucleotide ribosomal RNA is filed under the name uncultured bacterium. Its description in RNAcentral is "partial 16S ribosomal RNA". It matches the Rfam family "Bacterial small subunit ribosomal RNA", at positions 30 to 507 of the family's 1533-position model. The record is from RNAcentral.